RNAcentral lists this non-coding RNA (80 nucleotides) under Desulforamulus ruminis. RNAcentral describes it as "Desulfotomaculum ruminis c-di-GMP sequence". It matches the Rfam family "c-di-GMP-I-GGC riboswitch aptamer". RNAcentral also lists the same sequence under 1 other name. Lineage: Bacteria; Bacillati; Bacillota; Clostridia; Eubacteriales; Peptococcaceae. The record is from RNAcentral.
AUACGAAAAGGCAAACCUAGCGAAAGUUAGGGACGCAAAGCCACGGGCCUCAUUUUCAUGUGGCGGCCGGGCUGCCGAAA